GUAGCUGCUCUAUCAUCAGUUCUUGCUGCUGAAAAGAAGAAAACACCUGAAACCUCUCCUUCCCGCAGUCCUCCCCCAGAAACUAACCUUUCUGCUGAAGGGAAGAGUGAUAAUUCACUUUCAGAAGUGGAGUGGAGGGUUCCGAAGAAGUUGCAGAAGUUAAGGAAACAGAGGAAGUUGCAUCUGUAUCUGAAAGCAUUACGGAGGAUUCAGAGCCAAAACAAGACACGGAGCCGGACGAGAAUGGUAAUGGAAGCAGUGAAAGUACAUUCAGUUAUGAUCAACUGAAGGCUCAUUCUGACAACCCUGUAACUGGAAUUGAUUUUAAACGGAGAGAGGCCUAUCUGUCAGUUUCAGACUGUAUUUGGGAUGAGAAAAGAUGCAUUCUAUAAAUUGCCGAAAUGGAAGCAGGA
This 413-nucleotide unclassified non-coding RNA is filed under the name Hevea brasiliensis (rubber tree). Lineage: Eukaryota; Viridiplantae; Streptophyta; Magnoliopsida; Malpighiales; Euphorbiaceae. The record is from RNAcentral.